GUAGGUGAACCUGCGGAAGGAUCAUUAACACGUAUCCAACGUUAACCAACCUGUGAACAUACGUAAUUGUGCCUGAGUGGCGUUUUCCGCUGUUCGCAAGAACAAAGCUUUUAUUGGGCGGCGUUGCUCCUUAUUUCACCAAUUUUAACCCUUGUAAACUUACGAACUGAAACUUGCUUUUGCUAUUGAUCGGUAACCUGGUCAAUGGGCGGAAGUAUUUUACGAAACUUAAUACAACUUAGCAACGGGUAUCUUGGUUCAC
This 262-nucleotide unclassified non-coding RNA is filed under the name rhizosphere metagenome. RNAcentral's name for it is "partial ribosomal RNA internal transcribed spacer region". The record is from RNAcentral.